RNAcentral lists this ribosomal RNA (379 nucleotides) under uncultured eukaryote. RNAcentral describes it as "partial 18S ribosomal RNA". It matches the Rfam family "Eukaryotic small subunit ribosomal RNA", at positions 592 to 976 of the family's 1831-position model. The record is from RNAcentral.
CAAUAGCGUAUAUUAAAGUUGUUGCGGUUAAAAGCUCGUAGUUGGAUUUCUGCCGAGGACGUCCGGUCCGCCCUUUGGGUGUGUACAUGGUACGGCCUGGGCAUCUUCUUGGAAAACGUAUCUGCACUUGACUGUGUGGUGCGGUAUCCAGGACUUUUACUUUGAGGAAAUUAGAGUGUUUCAAGCAGGCCUACGCCUUGAAUACAUUAGCAUGGAAUAAUAAGAUAGGACUUCGGUUCUAUUUUGUUGGUUUCUAGAGCUGAGGUAAUGAUUAAUAGGGAUAGUUGGGGGCAUUCGUAUUUAACUGUCAGAGGUGAAAUUCUUGGAUUUGUCAAAGACGGACUACUGCGAAAGCAUUUGCCAAGGAUGUUUUCAUUGA